UCCCUGGUGGCUCAGAUGGUAAAGCAUCUGCCUGCAAUGCAGGAGACCCAGGUUCGAUUCCUGGAUUGGGAA
This 72-nucleotide transfer RNA is filed under the name Capra hircus (goat). It matches the Rfam family "tRNA". From Rfam's summary of the family: Transfer RNA (tRNA) molecules are approximately 80 nucleotides in length. RNAcentral also lists the same sequence under 1 other name. Lineage: Eukaryota; Metazoa; Chordata; Mammalia; Artiodactyla; Bovidae. The record is from Rfam by way of RNAcentral.